AAGAUUGUUAUUGUGUAAUACUAGGUAGGCUAUACCAGGGGUUGAAAGAUAAGAUUGUUAUUGUGUAAUACUAUGUAGGCUAUACCAGGGGUUGAAAGAUAAGAUUGUUAUUGUGUAAUACUAGGUAGGCUAUACCAGGGGUUGAAAGAUAAGAUUGUUAUUGUGUAAUACUAUGUAGGCUAUACCAGGGGUUGAAAGAUAAGAUUGUUAUUGUGUAAUACUAGGUAGGCUAUACCAGGGGUUGAAAGAUAAGAUUGUUAUUGUGUAAUACUAUGUAGGCUAUACCAGGGGUUGAAAGAUAAGAUUGUUAUUGUGUAAUACUAUGUAGGCUAUACCAG
Oncorhynchus tshawytscha (Chinook salmon) is the source of this 338-nucleotide long non-coding RNA. Lineage: Eukaryota; Metazoa; Chordata; Actinopteri; Salmoniformes; Salmonidae. The record is from Ensembl.